CUGCGCUCCUGUGGUUUUAUCCGGUUGGCUGCUGCGGGAGCGGGAUCGCGCCCGGGCGGCGGUGAUGUGUGUGUGUGUGUGACAGCUCAGAGCUGUCCACGUCAACACACCGAGCGAGCACGGCGGCGGCAGCAGCGAUGGACUCCGCGUCUCUGGAACCCUCCCUCUACACAGUCAAAGCUCUUUUCAUUCUUGACAAUGAUGGCAACAGACUUCUGUCAAAGUACUAUGACCCUGAGCUCUACCCCUCCAUGAAGGAACAGAAGAACUUUGAGAAGAACAUUUUCAACAAGACACACAAAGGCGACAAUGAGAUAGCGUUCCUGGAGGGGAUGACCAUCGUCUAUAAGAGCAGCAUAGAUCUCUUCUUCUACGUGGUGGGAAGCCCUCAGGAGAACGAGCUCAUGCUGAUGUCGGUACUGAACUGCCUGUUUGAGUCCCUCAGUCAGAUCCUCAGGAAAAAUGUGGAGCGGAGGUGUUUACUGGACAACAUGGAAGGAGUGUUCCUGGUUGUGGAUGAAAUCAUUGAUGGAGGGGUGAUUCUGGAGAGUGACCCCCAGCAGGUCCUACAGAAGGUCAACUACAGGCUAAUGUCAGAGCAAGCCUAUGGCUUCGUCCUGUUUGAUUACAUCACCGGUAAUGUAGAGGGACAAGCAGACAAGAGCCAGCUGCUGUAGACAGACAGACAGACAGACAGACAGACAGACAGACAGACAAACAGAGGGUGGAUGACAACCCAUUAUCUGAACAAAGCGUGGCCCAGGUUCUGCAGUCGGCCAAGGAGCAGAUCAAAUGGUCCAUACUGAAAUGACUCUGACUCAUUUAGGAUUCUCAAGAAGAACAUCUAGAGAACAUUACUAGUUUUUUUUUAUAUAGUAACAGACUAAAGGGAGAGUCAUUACAAUCUAGGCUGCUUUAUAUAGCAAUUAAUCAGCCAGUAAUAGGAUUUUAUUUCUAUGUGUAAUGGCAUUUUGUUACAUUGCAAUUAAUUUAUUUGGUUUUGAGAGUGAUGCUAUAAUUCAUAUUCAUAUAGAUUUGACAUUUAACAGGCCAAAUGACAUCAGGAAAAUUAAGGUAAUUAAGAACCAAACUAUGAAAAUACUGGAAAACUGAUUAGUGAUUAAUAAUCUAUUGCUUUUAUUUUGGUGGAGCAGGAUCUUCCACUCUUAUUUACCGUAAACCGAAUCUGACUGUGGGAUUUAUUUUUGCAUAUUGCUGAUGUGUCAAAUUUGAAAAUUACACUGUUUUAUAGAUGAAGAACUUUUCCCCAAAAAAACGUUACAUUAUGCUAAUAAUUUUUGAAAAAAAUAUUUUAGGAAAUUUACAUUCAUGUCAUAUCAGAAAAUGAGACACAGAAAAACACACACUGCUGCAGCAAAUAUCUGCUAAUUAAAGCUAAAAAACUGAAUAUCACAUAACAAGAAAAUGGUGUUUUUAAAAUUAAACCAUGUCAGUUACCAAGGGUGGUUUUAAAUUCACACACUGACAUUUGUGCACUGAAUUGCUCAGUUUAAUAAAGUUUUUUCAGACUGUGCUCCUUAAAUGACGUACCCGGUACAUGUGUCUUGUAAAGCUUAUUUAAAGGAAUGUAAUGGCACCUUAUGACACUAAACAAUGUUAGCACCAUGUGUAAGAAGAGGUGUAAGAUGUUAUGUCUGCACUGUCAGUAAAACCCUUAUUUUCCUUAAAGUGGAAUUGUCUCAUGAAGGUUAAAUUAGUAUCUGUACAUAUAAUUUGAUUUUAGGAGUCAAAGGGACCUUGAAGAUUAUGAAAUAUUAUAAAGAAUAAUGUCUAUUUUCUGAGAGUUAAAGAUGUUAAUAGAUAUUAAAUAUUUUCUUAGUUUAAAAGAUGAAAAAGCCAAAGACAUUUUGUUUACAUUUGGAUGUUGUGUAAAACAUUUAGCCUGAUGUGGGACGUUUUGUCUGUCCAACAUUUUGUGAAACUGAUAAUAAAACAUUUGUCCUUGA
Sebastes umbrosus (honeycomb rockfish) is the source of this 1967-nucleotide RNA transcript. It is a transcript of the gene named COPI coat complex subunit zeta 2, with no coding region annotated. The record is from RefSeq and is a predicted model, not a curated record. The transcript has 10 exons. NCBI's taxonomy places the organism in Eukaryota, Metazoa, Chordata, Actinopteri, Perciformes, Sebastidae.